AGUCGUAACAAGGUUUCCGUAGGUGAUCCUGCGGAAGGAUCAUUAACACGUAUCCAAACGUUAAAACCCCCCGUGAACCUUCAUCCUGCUCUUGUAACCCGUAGUUCGCAAUCUCUGAUAAAUCAUAGCCCGGAAAGUUGAAGUGAUUCAGAGACCUCUGGCUACGUGCGAACAUUGGAACAGUUACAAGCGAGCGGUAGUUCUAUAGGCAAUGCUUCCCCAAGCUUUGCCAAAGGGUCCCCAUGCCCCCUAAUAACCCCACAGUUUAAUGCGAAGCUCAAUGUAAUACAUUGGGUAAAAAAACCGAACAACUGUUAACAAUGGAUAUCUUGGUUCUC
Molecule: unclassified non-coding RNA, 338 nt
Filed under: fungal sp.
Lineage: Eukaryota; Fungi
Description: partial internal transcribed spacer region
Rfam family: Eukaryotic small subunit ribosomal RNA (bases 1-45)
Source: RNAcentral